AGAGUUUGAUCCUGGCUCAGGACGAACGCUGGCGGCGUGCUUAACACAUGCAAGUCGAACGAGAGCGUAGAGAAAGCUUGCUUUUUCUACAAUCUAGUGGCAAACGGGUGAGUAACGCGUAAACAACCUGCCCUACGGAUGGGGACAACAGCUGGAAACGGCUGCUAAUACCGAAUACGUUCCGAAAGUCGCAUGACUGUCGGAAGAAAGGAUGGCCUCUAUUUAUAAGCUAUCGCCGGAGGAGGGGUUUGCGUCUGAUUAGCUAGUUGGAGGGGUAACGGCCCACCAAGGCGACGAUCAGUAGCCGGUCUGAGAGGAUGAACGGCCACAUUGGAACUGAGACACGGUCCAGACUCCUACGGGAGGCAGCAGUGGGGAAUCUUCCGCAAUGGGCGAAAGCCUGACGGAGCAACGCCGCGUGAGUGAAGACGGCCUUCGGGUUGUAAAGCUCUGUUAUACGGGACGAAUAAUCUUGUGGUUAAUACCCAUAAGAAGUGACGGUACCGUAAGAGAAAGCCACGGCUAACUACGUGCCAGCAGCCGCGGUAAUACGUAGGUGGCAAGCGUUGUCCGGAAUUAUUGGGCGUAAAGGGCGCGCAGGCGGCUUCUUAAGUCUGUCUUAAAAGUGCGGGGCUUAACCCCGUGAUGGGAUGGAAACUGGGAAGCUCAGAGUAUCGGAGAGGAAAGCGGAAUUCCUAGUGUAGCGGUGAAAUGCGUAGAUAUUAGGAGGAACACCAGUGGCGAAAGCGGCUUUCUGGACGAAAACUGACGCUGAGGCGCGAAAGCCAGGGGAGCGAACGGGAUUAGAUACCCCGGUAGUCCUGGCCGUAAACGAUGGGUACUAGGUGUAGGAGGUAUCGACCCCUUCUGUGCCGGAGUUAACGCAAUAAGUACCCCGCCUGGGGAGUACG
This 911-nucleotide ribosomal RNA is filed under the name metagenome. RNAcentral describes it as "bacterial SSU rRNA". It matches the Rfam family "Bacterial small subunit ribosomal RNA", at positions 8 to 884 of the family's 1533-position model. The record is from RNAcentral.